This 1134-nucleotide ribosomal RNA is filed under the name Bacillus sp. (in: firmicutes). RNAcentral's name for it is "bacterial SSU rRNA". It matches the Rfam family "Bacterial small subunit ribosomal RNA", at positions 57 to 1171 of the family's 1533-position model. Lineage: Bacteria; Bacillati; Bacillota; Bacilli; Caryophanales; Bacillaceae. The record is from RNAcentral.
GCAAGUCGAGCGGAGAAAUGGGAGCUUGCUCCCAUUUCUCAGCGGCGGACGGGUGAGUAACACGUGGGCAACCUGCCCUACAGACUGGGAUAACUCCGGGAAACCGGAGCUAAUACCGGGUAAUACGUAGCAUCGCAUGAUGCAACGUUGAAAGUUGGCCUUUGGCUAACACUGUAGGAUGGGCCCGCGGCGCAUUAGCUAGUUGGUAAGGUAACGGCUUACCAAGGCCACGAUGCGUAGCCAACCUGAGAGGGUGAUCGGCCACACUGGGACUGAGACACGGCCCAGACUCCUACGGGAGGCAGCAGUAGGGAAUCUUCCGCAAUGGACGAAAGUCUGACGGAGCAACGCCGCGUGAGUGACGAAGGCCUUCGGGUCGUAAAGCUCUGUUGUUAGGGAAGAACAAGUACCGUUCGAAUAGGGCGGUACCUUGACGGUACCUAACCAGAAAGCCACGGCUAACUACGUGCCAGCAGCCGCGGUAAUACGUAGGUGGCAAGCGUUGUCCGGAAUUAUUGGGCGUAAAGCGCGCGCAGGCGGUCUCUUAAGUCUGAUGUGAAAGCCCACGGCUCAACCGUGGAGGGCCAUUGGAAACUGGGGGACUUGAGUGCAGAAGAGGAGAGUGGAAUUCCACGUGUAGCGGUGAAAUGCGUAGAUAUGUGGAGGAACACCAGUGGCGAAGGCGGCUCUCUGGUCUGUAACUGACGCUUAGGCGCGAAAGCGUGGGGAGCAAACAGGAUUAGAUACCCUGGUAGUCCACGCCGUAAACGAUGAGUGCUAGGUGUUGGGGGGGUUCCACCCUCAGUGCUGAAGUUAACACAUUAAGCACUCCGCCUGGGGAGUACGACCGCAAGGUUGAAACUCAAAGGAAUUGACGGGGGCCCGCACAAGCAGUGGAGCAUGUGGUUUAAUUCGAAGCAACGCGAAGAACCUUACCAGGUCUUGACAUCCUCUGCCACUCCUAGAGAUAGGACGUUCCCCUUCGGGGGACAGAGUGACAGGUGGUGCAUGGUUGUUCGUCAGCUCGUGUCGUGAGAUGUUGGGUUAAGUCCCGCAACGAGCGCAACCCUUGAUCUUAGUUGCCAGCAUUCAGUUGGGCACUCUAAGGUGACUGCCGGUGACAAACCGGAAGAA